CCUACGGGAGGCUGCAGUAGGGAAUAUUGGGCAAUGGGCGAAAGCCUGAACCAGCAACGCCGCGUGGAUGAUGAAGGCUUUAGGGUUGUAAACUCCUUUUGUUAGGGAAGAUUAUGUCUGUAUGUAACGAAUUAUCAACGGACAACUCCGUGCCAGCAGGCGAGGUAAUACGGAGGGUGCAAGGGUUACGCGGAAUGACUGGGCGAAAAGUGUGCGUAGGUGGGGUAUUAAGUCAGAUGUGAAGUCCUGUAGCUUAACCACAGAAGGGCAUUGGAAACUGGUUCUGUGGAGUGCGGGAGAGGGAGGUGGAAUUCUAGGUGUAGGGGUGAAAUGCGUAGAGAUAACGAGGAAUACCCAUUGCGAAGGCGGCCUGCUGGACCGUUACUGACGCUGAUGCGCGAAAGCGUGGGGAGCAAACAGGAUUAGAUACCCGAGUAGUC
This 440-nucleotide ribosomal RNA is filed under the name uncultured bacterium. RNAcentral describes it as "partial 16S ribosomal RNA". It matches the Rfam family "Bacterial small subunit ribosomal RNA", at positions 338 to 795 of the family's 1533-position model. The record is from RNAcentral.